CCUACGUGAGUCAGCAGUGAGGAAUAUUGGUCAAUGGGCGCGAGCCUGAACCAGCCAAGUCGCGUGAGGGAAGACGGUCCUAUGGAUUGUAAACCUCUUUUGUCGGGGAGCAAAAGACGCCACGCGUUGCGUUCCGAGAGUACCCGACGAAAAAGCAUCGGCUAACUCCGUGCCAGCAGCCGCGGUAAUACGGAGGAUGCGAGCGUUAUCCGGAUUUAUUGGGUUUAAAGGGUGCGCAGGCGGAAGAUCAAGGCAGCGGUAAAAUUGAGAGGCUCAACCUCUUCGAGCCGUUGAAACGGGCAGUCUUGAGUGGGCGAGAAGUAUGCGGAAUGCGUGGUGUAGCGGUGAAAUGCAUAGAUAUCACGCAGAACUCCGAUUGCGAAGGCAGCAUACCGGCGCCCGACUGACGCUGAGGCACGAAAGCGUGGGUAUCGAACAGGAUUAGAUACCCCAGUAGUC
This 459-nucleotide ribosomal RNA is filed under the name uncultured bacterium. RNAcentral describes it as "partial 16S ribosomal RNA". It matches the Rfam family "Bacterial small subunit ribosomal RNA", at positions 338 to 795 of the family's 1533-position model. The record is from RNAcentral.